Molecule: ribosomal RNA, 1451 nt
Filed under: metagenome
Description: bacterial LSU rRNA
Rfam family: Bacterial large subunit ribosomal RNA
Source: RNAcentral
UGUUGCCCUGUUGUCCCGGGGUAAGCGUGUAGGGCGGGGCCCAGGCAAAUCCGGUCCCCAUGAAGCCUGAGACGUGAUACCGAGCCGAAAGGCAGAAGUCACUGAUCCUAUGCUGCCGAGAAAAGCCUCUAGCGAGCUCGCACGGUGCCCGUACCCGAAACCGACACAGGUGGGCGGGUAGAGAAUACCAAGGCGAUUGGGAGAACUACGGUUAAGGAACUCGGCAAAAUACAUCCGUAACUUCGGGAUAAGGAUGACCUCAUUAGGGUGAUCGGACUUGCUCCGUGAGCUCGAGGGGGUGGCACAGACCAGGGGGAAGCGACUGUUUACCAAAAACACAGCAGCGUGCGAAGCCGCAAGGCGCUGUAUACGCUGUGACGCCUGCCCGGUGCUGGAAGGUUACGGGGAAAGGUUAGCCGCAAGGCGAAGCUUUGAACCUAAGCCCCAGUAAACGGCGGCCGUAACUAUAACGGUCCUAAGGUAGCGAAAUUCCUUGUCGGGUAAGUUCCGACCUGCACGAAUGGCGUAACGACUUCCCUACUGUCUCAACCGUAGACCCAGCGAAAUUGAAGUACGAGUAAAGAUGCUCGUUAAGUGCAGAAGGACGGAAAGACCCCGUGGACCUUUAUUAUAACUUGAUAUUGGUUCUUGGUUUCUGUUGUGUAGGAUAGGUGGGAGACGUUGAGUCGGUGGCGCUAGCUGCCGAGGAGUCAACCUUGAAAUACCACCCUGCAGUGAUUGGGAAUCUAACCACGACCCGUUAUCCGGGUUUGGGACAGUGUCAGGCGGGUAGUUUGACUGGGGCGGUCGCCUCCUAAAUCGUAACGGAGGCGCCCAAAGGUUCCCUCAGACUGGUUGGCAAUCAGUCGUCGAGUGCAAUGGCACAAGGGAGCUUGACUGCGAGACUGACACGUCGAGCAGGUGCGAAAGCAGGGCAUAGUGAUCCGGCGGUUGCGUGUGGAAGCGCCGUCGCUCAACGGAUAAAAGGUACCCCGGGGAUAACAGGCUAAUCUUGCCCAAGAGUCCAUAUCGACGGCAAGGUUUGGCACCUCGAUGUCGGCUCAUCGCAUCCUGGGGCUGAAGCAGGUCCCAAGGGUUGGGCUGUUCGCCCAUUAAAGCGGUACGCGAGCUGGGUUCAGAACGUCGUGAGACAGUUCGGUCCCUAUCCUCUGCACUCGCAGCUAGAUUGAGGAAGGCUAUCCCUAGUACGAGAGGACCGGGAUGGACGCAGCUCUCGUGUGCCAGUUGUCCUGCCAAGGGCAUUGCUGGUUAGCGACCUGCGGAAGGGAUAACCGCUGAAAGCAUCUAAGUGGGAAGCCCGUUUCAAGAUGAAUCUAGCCACCGGGUUAACCGGGUAAGGCCCGUGGGAGACCACCACGUUGAUAGGCCGGAGGUGGAAUUGCGGUAACGCAUGGAGCCGACCGGUACUAAUCGGCCGAGGGCUUGGGUAA